RNAcentral lists this long non-coding RNA (1075 nucleotides) under Anas platyrhynchos platyrhynchos (common mallard). RNAcentral's name for it is "lncRNA (ENSAPLG00000020380.1)". The record is from RNAcentral. Lineage: Eukaryota; Metazoa; Chordata; Aves; Anseriformes; Anatidae.
AUCAUUUGUCAGCUAAAAAGGCAAACUGGCUCUCCUCUGGACAGCUGCAGUGGCGGUGCAAGUAUAUUCAGUAUUUCAUGUUGUGUUGCAGUGGUAAGCAGCCAGAGGAAACUGAUGAAUCCAGUUGGUACUUGCUUUAUUUUUUUUUUUAAGGAGGGGAUGAAGAGCAGCUUUAUCUUUCUUAAAUGAAGAUUUAUUUGCUUGAUCUAGUGUAAUAUUCGGAGUUUGCUGUAGACCAUGUCUGAUACCUUUUCCUACAAUGAUUAAUGAAAUGUUCUCACAGUGAUUAAUGGAACAUGAAGAAACGGGUUGCUUGGUGUGAGUGAAAUGACUGAAUCCAGCUUUCUGUUUCUUGACUUGUGUGCAAGACAGAAUAAAACUCAGACAGCAGAUGUGUAAUGGGCUUCCCUUCAAAUACCUGACCAUUCUUGGAUCUGUUGGAAUGUGCUAUUUGUUGUGGGCUAUGGGGCAGGAGGUGGGGAGAACAAGAUGGAAGAGUUGGACUCAGUCCAGUCCACGAUGGGUGGAUAGUGACACUGUCAUGUGUGCCCCUCUGACGGUGAAGUGAAAGAAAGCCCACCUGGAACUUCUCAUGACAACAUCAAUAAACUGUCAAAGCACAAAGGAUUUGGAGAUUCAAGCUCCUAACCUCAAGAGAACUUCAGAACUAGAUGUGUUUUAUCAAUCAUAUAGAGAAAACUUUUCCUACCUCUUCUACGUUCUUCACAAGAAUCUAGCUAGCUCUCUUGCUGCAGCACAUUGUGCAAGUUCAUCAUGAAGCACUAACGGAAAGUUCCUUUCAGAGUCUGAGUAUUUGGAGGAUUUUUACCCAUCACAAAGCUUGGUAGGUACCCCUUGUCUCCAGGUGCUUAAUUUUACACUGCAUUUAAAUGAAACCGGUUGCCGGUAUGAUGCAGAUUUCUCUGUAAAAUUGUCCUAUCUGUGGUAAUACAGCAAUUAUAUCAACACUAAAGAUUUACAACAAAAGGUAACUAUAAAAACAUAUUUGUACAACGCAGCUCCAGGCUCAAUGCUAUACUAAUAAUAUAAUUAAUAAAAUACACUAUUUAUGCCA